Molecule: ribosomal RNA, 466 nt
Filed under: Brevibacillus laterosporus
Lineage: Bacteria; Bacillati; Bacillota; Bacilli; Caryophanales; Paenibacillaceae
Description: bacterial SSU rRNA
Rfam family: Bacterial small subunit ribosomal RNA
Source: RNAcentral
GGCUUUCGGAUCGUAAAGUUCUGUUGUUAGGGAAGAAACAGUGCCAUUUAAAUAAGGUGCACCUUGACGGUACCUAACGAGAAAGCCACGGCUAACUACGUGCCAGCAGCCGCGGUAAUACGUAGGUGGCAAGCGUUGUCCGGAAUUAUUGGGCGUAAAGCGCGCGCAGGUGGCUAUGUAAGUCUGAUGUUAAAGCCCGGGGCUCAACCUCGGUUCGCAUUGGAAACUGGGUAGCUUGUGCAGGAAAGGAAAGUGGUAUUCCACGUGUAGCGGUGAAAUGCGUAGAGAUGUGGAGGAACACCAGUGGCGAAGGCGACUUUCUGGCCUGUAACUGACACUGAGGCGCGAAAGCGUGGGGAGCAAACAGGAUUAAAUACCCUGGUAGUCCACGCCGUAAACGAUGAGUGCUAGGUGUUAAGGGUUUCAAUACCCUUAGUGCCGCAGCUAACGCAAUAAGCACUCCGCC